UACAGGGGGGGCAAGCGUUGUCCGGAUUUACUGGGCGUAAAGGGAGCGUAGGCGGACUUUUAAGUGAGAUGUGAAAUACUCAGGCUCAACCUGGGGGCUGCAUUUCAAACUGGAAGUCUAGAGUGCAGGAGAGGAGAGUGGAAUUCCUAGUGUAGCGGUGAAAUGCGUAGAGAUUAGGAAGAACACCAGUGGCGAAGGCGACUCUCUGGACUGUAACUGACGCUGAGGCUCGAAAGCGUGGGGAGCAAACAGG
This 253-nucleotide ribosomal RNA is filed under the name uncultured bacterium. RNAcentral describes it as "partial 16S ribosomal RNA". It matches the Rfam family "Bacterial small subunit ribosomal RNA", at positions 524 to 776 of the family's 1533-position model. The record is from RNAcentral.